AGCUAAGAUAUACAACAGUAGUUUGAGAAAACAGGGUUAUAGGAGGUUAUAGGGGGAGAGCAUCCCCGAAUGAUAAGGGGCUAUAGAGGUCCAGGAAGACUAGCAGAAGCGACAAGAGGGAAAAGCACCACUCUUCACCAAGGAGUUCCCAGACUUCCUCUGUGAGGGAGGACAACUUUGAGAAGGACCUGAAUGAUGGGAAGACUAGAGUGGGGAAUGUGCCUUCCUAUUAUGUUUCCCAGGGGAGUGUUUUGUUGUUGCUAGGUUUUCUUUAUCAACAACCCACUUCAUGGAACUACACCUUGUCUUCUCACCCAAGCUGAUAAGCUGAUCACUUGAAAUAUCAUCAGCAUGAAGAAUGGUUCAGGUUUGGGGACACUACCCUUUUUCAUUUCACCCUCAGUUGUCUUUCCCCUCUGAUUGGAGGGCUGAAGGGUGAAACACUAAACUCCUUCCCAAAUCUGCCUUUGUAGAGGGCUUACAACCUUCCUGGUAACUCCAUCAGCAGGUGUUUGGCUUCCAUUCCACAGAACAGCAUCCUCCCCUCCCACUUCUUGUCAACUUUUGUGUGUUGGAUGCCCUAUUAAAUUGCAAGCUCCAUGAA
This is a long non-coding RNA of Monodelphis domestica (gray short-tailed opossum), 604 nucleotides long. RefSeq lists it as uncharacterized. Lineage: Eukaryota; Metazoa; Chordata; Mammalia; Didelphimorphia; Didelphidae. The record is from RefSeq and is a predicted model, not a curated record.